UGCAGCCAACGCCCGCGUGUGGGAUGAGGUCUUCGGAUUGUAAACCCCUUUCAGUAGGGACGAAGCGCAGGUGACCGUACCUGCACAAGAAGCACCGGCUAACUACAUGCCACCCGCCGCGGUAAUACGUAGGGUGCGAGCGUUGACCGGAAUUACUGGGCGUAAACAGCUCGAAUGCGGUUUGUCACGUCGUCUGUGAAAUCCCUCGGCUUAACCUGAGGCCUGCAGGCUAUACGGGCAAACUUGACUACUACAGGGGAGACUGGAAUUCCUGGAGUAGCGUUGAAAUGCCCAGAUAUCAGGAGGAACACCAGAGGCGAAGGCGAAUCUCUGGGUAGAAACUGACCCUCAGGACCGAAAGCGUGGGUAACGAACAGGAUUAUAUACCCUGGUAGUCCAUGCCGUACACGGUGGGCGCUACGUGUGGGGACCUUCCACAGACUCCGUGACGUAUCUAACGCAUUAAGCGCCCCGCCUGGGAAGUACCGACGCAAGGCUAAAACUCAAAUGAAUUGACGGACU
Molecule: ribosomal RNA, 522 nt
Filed under: uncultured bacterium
Lineage: Bacteria
Description: bacterial SSU rRNA
Rfam family: Bacterial small subunit ribosomal RNA
Source: RNAcentral